UUCGAUGGAUCAUGCACUACCGCCGCCCGUAGUGCCUGAUACGUGGCAACUUGAGCGGAUAGAUGCGGAGAUUGCUGCCGUGAAGCUCCGCGGCGGACGGGUGAGUAACACGUGGGUAACGGGCACGCCAGAGUGGGAUAACUGCGGGACACCCGGGGCUAAUACCGGAUGCUUGUCUGAACCGCAUGGUUCAAACAUAUUAGGUGGCUUCGGCUACCACUUACAGAUGGACUCGCGGCGCAUUAGCUAGUUGGUGAGGUAACGGCUCACCAAGGCAACGAUGCGUAGCCGACCUGAGAGGGUGAUCGGCCACACUGGGACUGAGACACGGCCCAGACUCCUACGGGAGGCAGCAGUAGGGAAUCUUCUGCAAUGGACGAAAGUCUGACGGAGCAACGCCGCGUGAGUGAUGAAGGUUUUCGGAUCGUAAAGCUCUGUUGUUAGGGAAGAACAAGUACCGUUCGAAUAGGGCGGUACCUUGACGGUACCUAACCAGAAAGCCACGGCUAACUACGUGCCAGCAGCCGCGGUAAUACGUAGGUGGCCAGCGUUGUCCGGAAUUAUUGGGCGUAAAGGGCUCGCAGGCGGUUUCUUAAGUCUGAUGUGAAAGCCCCCGGCUCAACCGGGGAGGGUCAUUGGAAACUGGGGAACUUGAGUGCAGAAGAGGAGAGUGGAAUUCCACGUGUAGCGGUGAAAUGCGUAGAGAUGUGGAGGAACACCAGUGGCGAAGGCGACUCUCUGGUCUGUAACUGACGCUGAGGAGCGAAAGCGUGGGGAGCGAACAGGAUUAGAUACCCUGGUAGUCCACGCCGUAAACGAUGAGUGCUAAGUGUUAGGGGGUUUCCGCCCCUUAGUGCUGCAGCUAACGCUUUAAGCACUCCGCUUUGGAGAUCGGAAG
RNAcentral lists this ribosomal RNA (898 nucleotides) under Bacillus subtilis. Its description in RNAcentral is "bacterial SSU rRNA". It matches the Rfam family "Bacterial small subunit ribosomal RNA", at positions 1 to 892 of the family's 1533-position model. Lineage: Bacteria; Bacillati; Bacillota; Bacilli; Caryophanales; Bacillaceae. The record is from RNAcentral.